AACGAACGCUGGCGGCAUGCCUAACACAUGCAAGUCGAACGAGACCUUCGGGUCUAGUGGCGCACGGGUGCGUAACGCGUGGGAACCUGCCCUUAGGUUCGGAAUAACUCCCCGAAAGGGGUGCUAAUACCGGAUAAUGUCUUCGGACCAAAGAUUUAUCGCCUUUGGGUGGGCCCGCGUUGGAUUCGCUAGUUGGUAGGGUAAAAGCCUACCAAGGCGACGAUGCAUAGCUGGUCUGAGAGGAUGAUCAGCCACACUGGGACUGAGACACGGCCCAGACUGCUACGGGAGGGAGCAGUGGGGAACAUUGGACAAUGGGCGAAAGCCUGAUCCAGCAAUGCCGCGUGAGUGAUGAAGGCCUUAGGGUUGUAAAGCUCUUUUACCCGGGAUGAUAAUGACAGUACCGGGAGAAUAAGCACCGGCUAACUACGUG
This 433-nucleotide ribosomal RNA is filed under the name uncultured bacterium. Its description in RNAcentral is "partial 16S ribosomal RNA". It matches the Rfam family "Bacterial small subunit ribosomal RNA", at positions 29 to 507 of the family's 1533-position model. The record is from RNAcentral.